This 31-nucleotide non-coding RNA is filed under the name Rattus norvegicus (Norway rat). The record is from RNAcentral. Lineage: Eukaryota; Metazoa; Chordata; Mammalia; Rodentia; Muridae.
UAGUAAUGGUCUCUUCCUGAAUGAUGGGCUU